GAGGGCAAGUCUGGUGCCAGCAGCCGCGGUAAUUCCAGCUCUGAUAGCGUAUAUUAAAGUUGUUGCAGUUAAAAGCUCGUAGUUGGAUUUUAGGAUAUAUUGAUAUGGUCUCUUGUGAUAAACUUGUUGUACUGUAUCGAUUGUCCUUUCCUACUGGUUACUCGACUCUGUUCUUUAUUGCAUGGAGUAGUGUCGCAAGGCAUCGCUUAAUAUUUUUAUUGCUUUUAGAUGUAGUAAUUGGGGUAAAACUGGUUGCGAAACCUAAGGGAUCACAGUAAAGUAUUAAGUGGGGUUCCAGUUCAUUUACUUUUGAGUAAAUUAGAGUGUUCAAAGCAGCCUGUAUGGGCAUUGAAUAGAUUAGCAUGGGAUAAUAGAAUAGGAUUCUUAUCUAUUUAUUGGUUUAUAGAUUUUAGA
This 414-nucleotide ribosomal RNA is filed under the name uncultured eukaryote. RNAcentral's name for it is "bacterial SSU rRNA". It matches the Rfam family "Eukaryotic small subunit ribosomal RNA", at positions 551 to 862 of the family's 1831-position model. The record is from RNAcentral.